CAAACUUCACGGCGUGGUGGGACCUGGGCUACGAGGUCCGGCCAGCCCGGGGCGGGGGCGUGCAGCUGACCCAGCAUUUUCGUGACCCCUGUGUCAGUGUUCCCGGUGCAGGAGUGUAGCACUUUUGCUUGUUGGGGCUGCAUCCAGAAACCUGGGGAAAAUCUGUCCACUGGACGUCUCAGAAGACCGGCAUCAUCACUCCCACCAACUGGACUGCUGGCCGGUAGCAAAAGACCAGCUGGAAAUUUCAUAAAAGGUUAGACAAUCCACAGUUACUCAGUGUUACGCAACAGGUCUCUGCAGCACAGAGCACGAACUGGGGAGUCAGGAUGCUGGAGUCCAGCCCUGCCUCUCUGCGGAUUCCCUGCCUGACCUUGGGAAAGCCUCUUGGGGUCUCGGGGCAUAGGGCAGGACUGAGACGUUGAGACCCCAAGUGCAAAGAAGACACAUUUCUCCUACCACGAGUAAUCAAAAACACUAUGAAACUGUAAUAUGGGCCGGGUGCGGUGGCUCACGCCUGUAAUCACACUUUCGGAGGCCGAGGAGAUUGAGCCCAGGAGUUGAAGACCAGCCUGGGCAACAUAGGCAGAUCCCAUCUCAUUUUGUUAAUAUAAAAUUUUUAAAUAAUAAUAAAACUGUAAUAUAAAUUGUAUUGUUUCCUAUCUUGUCCACCUUGGUAUGUUUUUUGGAAAUAAAUUCAAUUUUUUUCCUUUUUA
RNAcentral lists this long non-coding RNA (716 nucleotides) under Homo sapiens (human). Its description in RNAcentral is "HSALNT0391022". Lineage: Eukaryota; Metazoa; Chordata; Mammalia; Primates; Hominidae. The record is from RNAcentral.